Long non-coding RNA from Carassius auratus (goldfish), 995 nucleotides. RefSeq lists it as uncharacterized. The transcript is spliced from 3 exons. NCBI's taxonomy places the organism in Eukaryota, Metazoa, Chordata, Actinopteri, Cypriniformes, Cyprinidae. The record is from RefSeq and is a predicted model, not a curated record.
GGAGUGAGAAUGGGUUGCUCAUCUGGACUCUCAUGUAUUCAGGAGCUCUGUCAGUGUGGCAGAAGCCAUUACUGAGCUGCGUGGAAUAGGAAGUGCAUCUUUGCUGAAGGUGAAGGAUUUCUGCAGAAUUUCACCCCAUCCAAAUGAAGCGGGACAGAAUGGAGUGAAGAGGAGCAGAAGCUGAUUCAAGAGAGAGUGCUUGUGUUACUGUGUGAGGCUCAGAGCUGAAAAACAGCAAAGCUGCACUCCUGUCCUUAUGGGACUGUGACAAUCAUCUCCUCUGAGGACUUGGAUGAUGAAAUGUCUGGCCUAGAUCUACAAAACACCCAGAUGUGCCAUUCCAGGCUGGGACAAAAAGGUUAUGAAUGAAACAUGAUAAGAGCUAAAAGAACAACUGUCUGGAACAAACUCUUUCAAAGAAUCAGACUUGGAAACUGUUGGAUGAAGGAUUUUAAUCUCACCUGAAGACAAGAAGACUGCACUGCUCCAUUCAGCCAAGCUAAUAAAUGUUUUUUUGAUAUUUAUCAUCAAACCCACAACCAGGAAAUUCAUCACGUCUUGCUCAGACUUCAGUCGCACACACACCCCCACCACGUCAAAACCCUCUACCUGAUUCUGUCCUUUACUGUGAGGUCACUGACUCCUGUCACUUCCUCUUCUUCUUCUCGUUGAAACCUCUGAUAUGCUCUUAAUCGACUCCAGUCCAGUAGAGAGAGUAAUACGACAAGGCCAGCAGACACAAAGGUCUGCAAAAUUGACAAACGCAGACAGGAUGACCGCCUGCGGUGAAAAAAAAGUAAAGGGGUUACAGAUGUAUUUGAACAAGGACUUGUGAGGGUCAGUGGCGUUGAACUCUUUAGCUAAUGGUGGAUGGUGUCCAACAUCAGUCACAAGUUUUAAAGUUUUAAAAUGGGAUGUUUCCAUUCCUGACUGGUCAAUACAGAUUUUCUGCUGUGCUAAAAUAGAGUUAGAAAAACUAUUAACCUUAGUUUAGA